RNAcentral lists this ribosomal RNA (301 nucleotides) under uncultured bacterium. Its description in RNAcentral is "partial 16S ribosomal RNA". It matches the Rfam family "Bacterial small subunit ribosomal RNA", at positions 509 to 808 of the family's 1533-position model. The record is from RNAcentral.
CAGUCGCCGCGGUAAUACGUAGGUCCCGAGCGUUGUCCGGAUUUAUUGGGCGUAAAGCGAGCGCAGGCGGUUAGAUAAGUCUGAAGUUAAAGGCCGUGGCUUAACCAUAGUACGCUUUGGAAACUGUUUAACUUGAGUGCAAGAGGGGAGAGUGGAAUUCCAUGUGUAGCGGUGAAAUGCGUAGAUAUAUGGAGGAACACCGGUGGCGAAAGCGGCUCUCUGGCUUGUAACUGACGCUGAGGCUCGAAAGCGUGGGGAGCAAACAGGAUUAGAUACCCCGGUAGUCCCUGUCUCUUAUACA